RNAcentral lists this transfer RNA (72 nucleotides) under Streptomyces reticuli. Its description in RNAcentral is "tRNA-Leu". It matches the Rfam family "tRNA". From Rfam's summary of the family: Transfer RNA (tRNA) molecules are approximately 80 nucleotides in length. Their secondary structure includes four short double-helical elements and three loops (D, anti-codon, and T loops). The record is from RNAcentral. RNAcentral also lists the same sequence under 2 other names. Lineage: Bacteria; Bacillati; Actinomycetota; Actinomycetes; Kitasatosporales; Streptomycetaceae.
GCGGCUGUCGUCUAACGGGCACAGGACUCCCCCGGAGAGGGGGCAACGCUGGUUCGAAUCCAGCCGGCCGCA